UACAGAGGGUGCAAGCGUUAAUCGGAAUUACUGGGCGUAAAGCGUGCGUAGACGGUCAUGUAAGUCGGAUGUGAAAGCCCCGGGCUCAACCUGGGAAUUGCAUUCGAGACUGCAUGGCUAGGAUGCGGAAGAGGGAAGCGGAAUUUCCGGUGUAGCGGUGAAAUGCGUAGAUAUCGGAAGGAACACCAGUGGCGAAAAGCGGCUUCCUGGUCCAGCAUCGACGUUCAGGCAGCGAAAAG
Molecule: ribosomal RNA, 239 nt
Filed under: uncultured bacterium
Lineage: Bacteria
Description: partial 16S ribosomal RNA
Rfam family: Bacterial small subunit ribosomal RNA
Source: RNAcentral